UAGGGGGAAUCUUCCACAAUGGGCGCAAGCCUGAUGGAGCAACACCGCGUGAGUGAAGAAGGGUUUCGGCUCGUAAAGCUCUGUUGUUGGAGAAGAACGUGCGUGAGAGUAACUGUUCACGCAGUGACGGUAUCCAACCAGAAAGUCACGGCUAACUACGUGCCAGCAGCCGCGGUAAUACGUAGGUGGCAAGCGUUAUCCGGAUUUAUUGGGCGUAAAGAGAGUGCAGGCGGUUUUCUAAGUCUGAUGUGAAAGCCUUCGGCUUAACCGGAGAAGUGCAUCGGAAACUGGAUAACUUGAGUGCAGAAGAGGGUAGUGGAACUCCAUGUGUAGCGGUGGAAUGCGUAGAUAUAUGGAAGAACACCAGUGGCGAAGGCGGCUACCUGGUCUGCAACUGACGCUGAGACUCGAAAGCAUGGGUAGCGAACAGGAUUAGAUACCCUGGUAGUCCAUGCCGUAAACGAUGAGUGCUAGGUGUUGGAGGGUUUCCGCCCUUCAGUGCCGGAGCUAACGCAUUAAGCACUCCGCCUGGGGAGUACGACCGCAAGGUUG
RNAcentral lists this ribosomal RNA (552 nucleotides) under uncultured bacterium. RNAcentral's name for it is "bacterial SSU rRNA". It matches the Rfam family "Bacterial small subunit ribosomal RNA", at positions 353 to 896 of the family's 1533-position model. The record is from RNAcentral.